AGCGAACGCUGGCGGCAGGCCUAACACAUGCAAGUCGAACGAACCUUUCGGGGUUAGUGGCGGACGGGUGAGUAACACGUGGGAACGUGCCUUUAGGUUCGGAAUAACUCAGGUAAACUUGUGCUAAUACCGAAUGUGCCCUUCUGGGGAAAGAUUUAUCGCCUUUAGAGCGGCCCGCGUUUGAUUAGCUAGUUGGUUGAGGUAAUGGCUCACCAAGGCGACGAUCAGUAGCUGGUCUGAGAGGAUGAUCAGCCACAUUGGGACUGAGACACGGCCCAAAAUCCUACGGGAGGCAGCAGUGGGGAAUCUUGCGCAAUGGGCGAAAGCCUGACGCAGCUAUGCCGCGUGAAUGAUGAAGGUCUUAGGAUUGUAAAAUUCUUUCACCGGGGACGAUAAUGACGGUACCCGGAGAAGAAGCCCCGGCUAACUUCGUG
This 434-nucleotide ribosomal RNA is filed under the name uncultured bacterium. Its description in RNAcentral is "partial 16S ribosomal RNA". It matches the Rfam family "Bacterial small subunit ribosomal RNA", at positions 29 to 507 of the family's 1533-position model. The record is from RNAcentral.